Molecule: ribosomal RNA, 253 nt
Filed under: uncultured bacterium
Lineage: Bacteria
Description: partial 16S ribosomal RNA
Rfam family: Bacterial small subunit ribosomal RNA
Source: RNAcentral
UAUGAAGGGGGCUAGCGUUGUUCGGAAUUACUGGGCGUAAAGCGCACGUAGGCGGCCUUGUAAGAUGGGGGUGAAAUCCCCGGGCUCAACCCGGGAACUGCCUUCAUGACUGCAAAGCUUGAGGAUGCGAGAGGUUAGCGGAAUUCCGAGUGUAGAGGUGAAAUUCGUAGAUAUUCGGAAGAACACCAGUGGCGAAGGCGGCUAACUGGCGCAUUUCUGACGCUGAGGUGCGAAAGCGUGGGGAGCAAACAGG